AUCCAGUUGAUGAGUCCGAAAUAAGACGAAAUGUGCAUCCUGGAU
This is a non-coding RNA of Trichobilharzia regenti, 45 nucleotides long. NCBI's taxonomy places the organism in Eukaryota, Metazoa, Platyhelminthes, Trematoda, Strigeidida, Schistosomatidae. The record is from Rfam.